CGCGGGGUGGAGCAGUCUGGUAGCUCGUCGGGCUCAUAACCCGAAGGUCGCAGGUUCAAAUCCUGCCUCCGCAA
This is a non-coding RNA of Bacillus sp. OV166, 74 nucleotides long. Lineage: Bacteria; Bacillati; Bacillota; Bacilli; Caryophanales; Bacillaceae. The record is from Rfam.